AGGGUUCGAUUAUGGCUCAGGAUGAACGCUGGCGGCGUGCUUAACACAUGCAAGUCGAACGGACCAAAGGGGCUUGCUCCUUUGGUUAGUGGCGGACGGGUGAGUAACGCGUGAGCAACCUGCCCAUAUCAGGGGAAUAACACAGUGAAAAUUGUGCUAAUACCGCAUAAGACCACGAAGCGGCAUCGCUUUGCGGUAAAAGAUUUAUCGGAUAUGGAUGGGCUCGCGUCCCAUUAGAUAGUUGGUGAGGUAACGGCCCACCAAGUCUGCGAUGGGUAGCCGACCUCAGAGGGUGAUCGGCCACAUUGGAACUGAGAAACGGUCCAG
This 327-nucleotide ribosomal RNA is filed under the name uncultured bacterium. RNAcentral describes it as "bacterial SSU rRNA". It matches the Rfam family "Bacterial small subunit ribosomal RNA", at positions 8 to 334 of the family's 1533-position model. The record is from RNAcentral.